Molecule: ribosomal RNA, 475 nt
Filed under: uncultured bacterium
Lineage: Bacteria
Description: SSU rRNA
Rfam family: Bacterial small subunit ribosomal RNA
Source: RNAcentral
AGAACGAACGCUGGCGGCAUGCCUAACACAUGCAAGUCGAACGCUUUACCGGUUUCGGCCGGCAAGGAGUGGCGCACGGGUGAGUAGCGCGUGGGAACCUGCCCUGUUGUGGGGGAUAACCGAGGGAAACUUCGGCUAAUACCGCAUAAGCCGGUUGUCUUGAAAGAGAUGGCCGGGAAAGAUUUAUCGCGACAGGAGGGGCCCGCGUCGGAUUAGCUAGUUGGCGGGGUAACGGCCCACCAAGGCUGUGAUCCGUAGCUGGUCUGAGAGGAUGAUCAGCCACACUGGGACUGAGACACGGCCCAGACUCCUACGGGAGGCAGCAGUGGGGAAUAUUGGACAAUGGGCGCAAGCCUGAUCCAGCAAUGCCGCGUGAGUGAUGAAGGCCUUAGGGUUGUAAAGCUCUUUCGCCCGCGACGAUGAUGACGGUAGCGGGAGAAGAAGCCCGGCUAACUUCGUGCCAGCAGCCGCGUAA